UCUACCAUAGAAGUUCAGAUGGAGUCCGCUUGCAAUAGAAGUUCGGGGUAGAGAUCCGACUCUUGUAGGAGCUCAGAUGAAAUCUGGAAGGCGGUCAACCAUUGUAGAAACUUGGAUGGAGUCUGGUUGCUGUAGAAGUCCUGCUGUUGGAGAAGCUCGGAUAUUGACGAAGUUCGAAAGAAGUUCGGAGUAAAGUCGUUCG
This 202-nucleotide long non-coding RNA is filed under the name Elaeis guineensis (African oil palm). Its description in RNAcentral is "long non-coding RNA (EGUI_LNC046800)". Lineage: Eukaryota; Viridiplantae; Streptophyta; Magnoliopsida; Arecales; Arecaceae. The record is from RNAcentral.